UCCAAAACUUCACGAGGAAAACACGAUGGAACAGCUCAAGAUUUGAUUCUUUUACUUUCCUCUCCUACAAAUGUCCCAGGAUUAAGAACACCUCGGUUGUUUGUUUGGAAACUUGUAUAUGGACAAUGGAGCCAGCUAGCCAUGGAGUGAAACUUCAGAAGCCAUGAGCCAAAAUACAUCUUACCUCCUGAAGCUGUUGUCUUGGGUGUGUUGUCACAGUGACGAGAUGAUAACUCACAUAGUUCAAAAAAAAAAAAUUCAAUCUAUAGGUGAUGACAUUCCAUCAGCACUGGCGAAGGUUGGAAUUGAGGAAAGUACUCCAAUUGGAAACGUAAGCUUCACACCACAUUGGCCAUAAGUCACUAGCUGUGCGUGGUGGCUAACCACACAAGGACAUCCAAGAGCCACUCAGCACCAGAUCACCAACGGUUUGGAGCACAUGUGAGUCAUUUGGAAAGAAAGGCAGCUCUGGCUUCGGUGCUUUGGUGGUUCUAAUUUCAGAAGUGUCAGUUCUCACCUGGAAAGAAAAGGUAGACAAGAGGCCUUGGAUUUAAUAAAGUACACAGACUGUAGACAGUUUUUAAUACAGUGAAAUUAGCAUAGAAGCAUAAAGCAACAGAGUCAAGACAGCAGGCUG
This is a long non-coding RNA of Mus pahari (shrew mouse), 637 nucleotides long. RefSeq lists it as uncharacterized. The transcript is spliced from 3 exons. The record is from RefSeq and is a predicted model, not a curated record. Lineage: Eukaryota; Metazoa; Chordata; Mammalia; Rodentia; Muridae.